RNAcentral lists this ribosomal RNA (253 nucleotides) under uncultured bacterium. Its description in RNAcentral is "partial 16S ribosomal RNA". It matches the Rfam family "Bacterial small subunit ribosomal RNA", at positions 524 to 776 of the family's 1533-position model. The record is from RNAcentral.
UACGGAGGGUGCAAGCGUUAUCCGGAUUUACUGGGUUUAAAGGGAGCGCAGGCGGUCGUAUAAGUCAGAGGUGAAAGCCCGGCGCUCAACGUCGGAAUUGCCUUUGAUACUGUACGACUUGAGUAUGAAAGAGGUAGGCGGAAUGCGUCAUGUAGCGGUGAAAUGCAUAGAGAUGACGUAGAACACCGAUUGCGAAGGCAGCUUACUAUUUCAGCACUGACGCUGAGGCUCGAAAGCGUGGGUAGCGAACAGG